RNAcentral lists this long non-coding RNA (214 nucleotides) under Sorghum bicolor (sorghum). Its description in RNAcentral is "long non-coding RNA (SBIC_LNC007160)". The record is from RNAcentral. Lineage: Eukaryota; Viridiplantae; Streptophyta; Magnoliopsida; Poales; Poaceae.
AGCUUGAGCUUUGUGUGGACCAAACUGGAGCUUAGCUUUGAUGCUAUUAGUGUAGAUUAGGCGAAGACAUGACCUUACACCCUCUACUCGUCGAUCUAGCUUGAUUUUAGUGGAGAUUAAUUAUAGUUGUAUGUAUAGAGAGGAAAGCUUGUUCUAGAUCUAGGAUUUCCUUUUAAUUUUUUAUUUAUAGUUUUUAUUUCAUGAAAUUGGAAUG